GCACUUUAAGCAGUGAAGAAGACUCCGUGGUUAAUACCCACGGACGAUGACAUUAGCUGCAGAAUAAGCACCGGCUAACUCUGUGCCAGCAGCCGCGGUAAUACAGAGGGUGCAAGUGUUAAUCGGAAUUACUGGGCGUAAAGGGAGCGUAGGUGGCUUGAUAAGUCAGAUGUGAAAUCCCCGGGCUUAACCUGGGAACUGCAUCUGAUACUGUUGAGCUAGAGUAGGUGAGAGGAAGGUAGAAUUCCAGGUGUAGCGGUGAAAUGCGUAGAGAUCUGGAGGAAUACCGAUGGCGAAGGCAGCCUUCUGGCAUCAUACUGACACUGAGGCUCGAAAGCGUGGGUAGCAAACAGGAUUAGAUACCCUGGUAGUCCACGCCGUAAACGAUGUCUACUAGUCGUUGG
This 404-nucleotide ribosomal RNA is filed under the name uncultured bacterium. Its description in RNAcentral is "bacterial SSU rRNA". It matches the Rfam family "Bacterial small subunit ribosomal RNA", at positions 430 to 826 of the family's 1533-position model. The record is from RNAcentral.